GAUGAAUGCUGGCGGCGUGCCUAACACAUGCAAGUCGAGCGGCAGCGAGUUUUACACUGAAUUCUGGAAGCUUCUGAGUAGUACAGAAGAUUUAUUCAAGAGUUUUGUGUAAAAUGUCGGCGAGCGGCGGACGGCUGAGUAACGCGUAGGAAUUUGCCCCAAAGUGAGGAACAACUGCCCGAAAGGGUAGCUAAUGCCGCAUAUGGUCUUCGGAUUAAAGCCUUCGGGCGCUUUGGGAGAAGCCUGCGUUGGAUUAGGUAGUUGGUAGGGUAAUGGCCUACCAAGCCGACGAUCCAUAGCUGGUCUGAGAGGAUGAUCAGCCAGACUGGAACUGAGACACGGUCCAGACUCCUACGGGAGGCAGCAGUGAGGAAUCUUCCACAAUGGGCGAAAGCCUGAUGGAGCAACGCCGCGUGAAGGAUGAAGGCCUUCGGGUUGUAAACUUCUUUUAUGAGUGAAGAAUAUGACGGUAACUCAUGAAUAAGCACCGGCUAACUACGUG
This 502-nucleotide ribosomal RNA is filed under the name uncultured bacterium. RNAcentral describes it as "partial 16S ribosomal RNA". It matches the Rfam family "Bacterial small subunit ribosomal RNA", at positions 28 to 507 of the family's 1533-position model. The record is from RNAcentral.